This 495-nucleotide ribosomal RNA is filed under the name uncultured bacterium. Its description in RNAcentral is "partial 16S ribosomal RNA". It matches the Rfam family "Bacterial small subunit ribosomal RNA", at positions 28 to 507 of the family's 1533-position model. The record is from RNAcentral.
GACGAACGCUGGCGGCGUGCCUAAUACAUGCGAGUAGAACGCUGAAGGAGGAGCUUGCUUCUCCGGAUGAGUUGCGAACGGGUGAGUAACGCGUAGGUAACCUGCCUGGUAGCGGGGGAAAACUAUUGGAAACGAUAGCUAAUACCGCAUAACAGUAGAUAGUGCAUGAUAUCUGCUUGAAAGGGGCAAUUGUGUCACUACCAGAUGGACCUCCGUUGUAUUAGCUAGUUGGUGAGGUAACGGCUCACCAAGGGGACGAUACAUAGCCGACCUGAGAGGGUGGUAGGCCACACUGGGAAUUAGGCACGGCCCAGGAUCCUACGGGAGGCAGCAGUAGGGAAUCUUCGGCAAUGGACGGAAGUCUGACCGAGCAACGCCGCGAGAGUGGAGGAGGUUUUCGGAUCGUAAAGCUCUGUUGUAAGAGAAGAACGAGUGUGAGAGUGGAAAGCUCACACUGUGACGGUAUCUUACCAGAAAGGGACGGCUAACUACGUG